Molecule: ribosomal RNA, 421 nt
Filed under: uncultured bacterium
Lineage: Bacteria
Description: bacterial SSU rRNA
Rfam family: Bacterial small subunit ribosomal RNA
Source: RNAcentral
UAAGGAAUAUUGGUCAAUGGGCGCAAGUCUGAACCAGCCAUGCCGCGUGAAGGAUGAAGGUCCUCUGGAUUGUAAACUUCUUUUAUCUGGGACGAAAACGGGAUUUUUAUCUCAAUUGACGGUACCAGAGGAAUAGGCACCGGCUAACUCCGUGCCAGCAGCCGCGGUAAUACGGAGGGUGCGAGCGUUAUCCGGAUUUACUGGGUUUAAAGGGUGCGUAGGUGGGCUUAUAAGUCAGUGGUGAAAUCUCCGAGCUUAACUUGGGAACUGCCGUUGAUACUAUAGGUCUUGAAUUAUCUGGAGGUAAGCGGAAUAUGUCAUGUAGCGGUGAAAUGCUUAGAUAUGACAUAGAACACCAAUUGCGAAGGCAGCUUGCUACACAAUCAUUGACGCUGAGGCACGAAAGCGUGGGGAUCAAACA